This 863-nucleotide ribosomal RNA is filed under the name uncultured bacterium. RNAcentral's name for it is "bacterial SSU rRNA". It matches the Rfam family "Bacterial small subunit ribosomal RNA", at positions 9 to 873 of the family's 1533-position model. The record is from RNAcentral.
UAAGUUUGAUCCUGGCUCAGGAUGAACGCUAGCGGCAGGCCUAAUACAUGCAAGUCGAACGGUUCAUAGCAAUAUGAAUAGUGGCGCACGGGUGCGUAACGCGUAGCCAACCUACCCGAAUCUGGAGGAUAGCCCGCCGAAAGGCGGAUUAAUACCGCAUAAAACUGCAGCGCGGCAUCGUGUAACAGUUAAAGAUUUAUUGGAUUCGGAUGGGGCUGCGUGCCAUUAGCUAGUUGGGGAGGUAACGGCUCACCAAGGCGACGAUGGCUAGGGGAGCUGAGAGGCUGGUCCCCCACACGGGCACUGAGAUACGGGCCCGACUCCCACGGGAGGCAGCAGUGGGGAAUAUUGGACAAUGGGCGAAAGCCUGAUCCAGCCAUGCCGCGUGUGUGAAGAAGGUCUUCGGAUUGUAAAACACUUUAAGUUGGGAGGAAGGGUUGUAACCUAAUACGUUGCAAUCUUGACGUUACCGACAGAAUAAGCACCGGCUAACUCUGUGCCAGCAGCCGCGGUAAUACAGAGGGUGCAAGCGUUAAUCGGAAUUACUGGGCGUAAAGCGCGCGUAGGUGGUUCGUUAAGUUGGAUGUGAAAGCCCCGGGCUCAACCUGGGAACUGCAUUCAAAACUGACGAGCUAGAGUAUGGUAGAGGGUGGUGGAAUUUCCUGUGUAGCGGUGAAAUGCGUAGAUAUAGGAAGGAACACCAGUGGCGAAGCGACCACCUGCACUGAUACUGACACUGAGGUGCGAAAGCGUGGGGAGCAACAGGAUUAAUACCCUGAUAGUCCACGCCGUAAACGAUGUCAACUACCGUUGGGAGCCUUGAGCUCUUAGUGGCGCACCUAACGCAUUAAGUUGACCGCCUG